Molecule: unclassified non-coding RNA, 313 nt
Filed under: plant metagenome
Description: partial contains small subunit ribosomal RNA, internal transcribed spacer 1, and 5.8S ribosomal RNA
Source: RNAcentral
UUUCCGUAGGUGAACCUGCGGAAGGAUCAUUAAAAGAGUUUGAUACUUCGCUCCUCCUCGCGGGAGGGGCCGUUGCUCUUCGGAGCAACCGUGUUGCCCUUCUUCGUGUUGCUCUUAGGAGCUCCCGAGUUGUUCUUCGCGUUGCUAUUCGGGGUCGUGGCUCUGCGGAGCCGUGGCUCUUCGGAGGCGGUGUCAAUAAACAUUCCACACUGUGAACGGUUGGGCUACUAGCCUACUUUUUCAUUUACUCUUGUCAUGAACGUCAAAUACUAUGAUAUAAACAAAACUUUCAACAACGGAUCUCUUGGCUCUC